Molecule: long non-coding RNA, 5040 nt
Filed under: Setaria italica (foxtail millet)
Lineage: Eukaryota; Viridiplantae; Streptophyta; Magnoliopsida; Poales; Poaceae
Description: long non-coding RNA (SITA_LNC005772)
Source: RNAcentral
GGUGGAGUAAUAUAGCGGUAGAUUCUAAAGUAUGGUUGCUAAUUCUUUCUCUCUCAGAGAGUGGUGGUGGAUGUCUUCAUGAGUGGAGUAUGAGUGGAGGUCUUCGCUGGUGGAGUGUGUCUUCGUGAUUCUUGGUGAUGCUCUGGUUGUGAUCUGGUUGAUGUCGUAGUGUGGUGCCUCCAAUGCUUCACCCGGGUACCUCCUUUUAUAGUCGCGGCAGAGGCUUCUGGAGUUGCUUCGAGCUCUUCAACUAUUCUUCUCUUCUUUUGCCUGGACACUUGGACGGCUCCCCGCUCCUCAAUAAUUGUCCUGGGUACAGUAGAGUUGCUGUUUAUUCUUUUUGCCUUGUCCUCUAUCGCGCACUGUCUUCUCGUGAUAUUCUGGAUGCUGCUUGGUAUGGUCUUCCACGCCCGAAUGAUUGACGUCGCAGACUUCAAUCAGAACAUCAUGGCAUGUAGUAUUAUUCUGCCCCGGCCGAAUUGUUGUUAACACGUUAACAACACUGGAGACUUAUUUCCUUGUGUGACAAAGUAUUCUUUUGUCCAAGCUGUAUUUCUAUUCUUCUUCUUCAAUAUCCGGUUCCUCUGGUUGCCACAGUUCAUACCAUGACAGUAAUUCACGAUAUUCUUUUCUUAACUGGCAUUCCAUUCCAUAAUUUGGCUUGAGUAGCCUUCCUACUUCUUUUGAUAUUAUACUAUUCCUUUCAUAAUAUUCUCGUAGAAAUAUUUUUGUUAUUUUGUUUUGAUACAUCAUAUGGUACUCAGUAUUGAAUUUAGUAUUUCCUUCUAUUUCUUUUGCUUCAUUGAAAAUUCUCCAAUUAUCAUGAUUAUUUUUGGCACGUAUUUCUUCAUAAUUGUACCAUGUUUCUGAAGACCAUAUUGUAGGGAAUUUAUACGAACCUUUUAUAAUAUAUAUAUCAUGACUUGCUGGUCUUAAUGGUAGUGUAAAUUUUGGUGGGUUAGAAAAGUAUUUUAUUUUAUAUUUUCCUUGGACACACGCCAAUCUUUUACAUGCUUCUUUAAUAGCCUUUCCUAAAUCAGAUUGAUGUAUUUCUUCCAAUGUUCCAUAAAUAUCUCGGACUAACCCGUGAUCAAUAAUAGUUUGUAAAGAAAUAUCUUCUCCUGUAUGCCUUUGUAUGUUUGUAAAAUAUUUUAGGUUUAUAUCAGCCUUAAGUAUUAUAAAUUUAUGAUGAGGCUUAACAAUUAACUUAUCAUCAAGAUGAAGCAAAGGAAAGGUAUUUAUAGUAACUAUUAUUCCCAAAUUCCUUUUUAUACCUUGAUAUAGCCUCAUGAAGUAAUUUUGUAUAUCAUGAAAUGUUUUGUACUGCCUUUCAGCAUAUUUCUUCCAUAUUAGAUCUAUAAUAUCUUGUGUAAAAUAUGCCAGUACUUGUUCAGUCUUAAAACUUAUCCUAGGGAUAAGAAACUCGUGUGGAGUAUUGACUAAAUAUUUAUUAUUUCUUUUAUCAUUUGAAGAGUCCUCCUUCGGACUGAUCUUAUUUUCCUCAUACUUUGUAUUAAAUACAUUCUUGUCACUUUGUUGUUCUAAACAUGAUCUACAUGCCUGUUUUAUACAUAAACUGCAAGUAGCCCUUUUUCCUGGAUCUUGAUAGUAUAUACAAAAUACACAUUUAUAUUAACGUCAUCUCUUUUAUGAUCCCGAAUUAUUUGAUCCAUCAUUUCUAUCUUUAACCCUGCUAGUUCUUCAAUCAAGUUUGUCUCUUCAUCACUCGAUUCAUCUUCUUCAUUAUAUUCAAUUUCAUCUGUUUCUAUUAUUGAAUAUAUAGAUUCAUCAUCCAUUAUAUCAUCAUCACAUACCAGAAUAUUUUCGUUAACACUAUCUAUAAUUAACACCCUUUCUUGCUCUUCUUGCUUAUUAGAAUAUCUCUUCUUAUCUUUAUUAGGACAAGUUUUACUUAAAUGAUCUGGAGAAUUACAAAUAAAGCAUCUACAUGUACUAUCAUAAUUUUUUCUAGGAUUGUAUCUUCUUACAUUUCUCUUGUGAAGAAAAGGAGCUCUAUUAUCUGAUCUUCUUAGGAAAUAUCUUUUCUUUGUCUUUACAUUUCCCUUCUUAUAAUUUUUAGGGUAUUUCUUAUUUCUAUAUUUCUCUUCUCCAUAUGUCAAUGGUAUUUGAACUAUUUUAUUACAAAAGUUGUAAUCUGAUUGCUUCAUUGACCUUUGAGCUUGUAUGCUUGUGCAUAUUUUUCUUAGUUGCUUAAAAACAAAUGUUAUAGCCUGAGAAAUAUUAUAUUUCCCUUCCAUUAGAUUCCUUUUUAUAUUCUUCAAAUAUCAUGGAUCCUAAAGGAUCUGGUAGUUUAUUAAAAUAUCUUUCAACUAUACUCUUAUUAUAGCCUUGCUUAGCAGUUGUGGCGUUAUACAAAUAAUGCUGAGAGAACUCUUUUAUUCCUUUCCAAUUUGUUAAAGUCAAUUUCUCUAUUUCCUUCAAUCUUUCAUUUUGUAAUGCAGUAUAACCUAAUUCUGGAUCUUCAUCUAUAACAAUACUUGAUAUGAUAUUUGCAAAAUUAUAAGGGUUGCUACCAGCUCUUUUUAAUUCUUCAUAAUAAUGAGGAUAAGUUUCUACCCAUUGUUCCCAUAGAACUUUAACUGAUUCUCCUAAGAAUGUUUCUAAAUAUGUAAUCAUAUCUUCUACUCUACUUCCAAUAUUAUGCUGAUUUUGUAUAUAUUUUUGGACUAUUAGGCUUUUCCAUAUGCUUAUAAUAUUUGGCCAAUCAAUAGGAUCGUGUGCUGCUAAAUUUAAUAUUGCACCAUCGCUUCUAUAAUUCUGAAAUUGCACAGUCCUUUCAAACUCUCUUCUUUUUGAACCCACAUGCUUAUAUUGUCCAGGUAUAUAGGUAUAUGUAGGCUCUUCCUUUUCUGGUGGCCAAUUACCUGGUUUUCUAGAUGGUCUAUCCGUUUCUCCUUCAAUUUUUAUAUCUCUCUCUUGUUCUCGUCUUCUUUUAGAUGGACUUGGAUCUAUAUCCAUGGCUUCUAUAGCAGUAUCUUUAUUGUAUAAUUCUUCAUUUCUUAAAGAAAGAAUAUGUGAAUCUGACUUACUAUUAUGUAUUUCAAUUAUAUCUUCAUCCUCUUCUUCAUAACUUUCUAAUAAAAUUUUAUUAUUGAUCUCCCAUUGAUCUUCUUCACUUAUAACAACCUCUUCUUUUUCCUUUACCAUUUCUUUAUUAUUCUCUAAUUCUUUCUGAAUCUUACUAUUUUUAUCACUUACAUGUUGCAAAGUAGGUUCAUGUUUUAUUAUCGGCAUGUUGAUCUUUUUUUUAUUUGACUCUCUUUCUUUCUUAAUUUUAUUAAGUCUAUAUAAUUCUCGUCUGAAAUAUAGCUCUUUUUCUCUAAUAGCAGACCAUUCACAUAUCAUAGAGGUAUUAUAUUCAUCUUGAACUUUACUUAGUUUUUUCUCAUAGUGCUUUAUUUCAUUAUCAAUAUCUAAUUUUUUCAUGAAUUCACAUACACUAUGUCUUCUAGCUUCCCCUAUGUUCGACUCAGAAGUUGAAACUUCUAAAUCAUCUAAACUUCUUUCUUUGUAAUUAACAAACCUGAUACUAGUUUUGCCUUUACUAUUUUCAUAGCUUACAUAAUCUUUAGGUUGUUUUAAAAUCUUCGGUUCUAUUAAAGCACUUAUAUUCCAUUCUUCACCUGCUCUUUCUUCAGAACUAAUUUUUAAAGGACUCAUGAAUUUUAUUCCCUUAGACUGCAUACUUUCUAUUACAUUGUUUACAUUUACCUUGUAUUUAGUUGCACUUCUAUUAGUUAACCUUCCUACAAAUUCUAUACUUACUAAUAAAUUUGUACCUUUAAAGUUUUCAUAGCCUUUGGUCUGAAAACCAAUUGCCAUUUUAUCUAUAAAUUCUUUUAUUGGCAUUAUUAAAUCUGGAGCUAUGUAUGUUAUUAACAUAUUUUCAUUCAUAUCUUCUUCUAGGAAACCCAAUGCUGCUUUAUUCACUGAAUCCCAUCUUUUAUCGAGGGCGAGGGAAUGAGCGACUCCGAAAAAUUUCGGAUUUCAAAUUUCGAGUUACUAUUCAUAGUACUAUUCAAAUUCGGCGAACACUAUUCAAAUUCGCGGCACUAUUUAAAUUCAGCUCACUAUUCAAAUUCGGGAAUAUGAAUAGUGCCCGAGCACUCACCGGGAGUGGAUGGAGCACCUAUGGGUGGCGGCACUAUUCAGCCACUAUUCACUCACUAUUACGCACUAUUGAGCUACUAUUCGGAGUCGCAUUCAGGGGAUACGAGCACGCGCGGGUGCGUGAUUAGGUAUAUUCCUUAAUUAAGUCUAUUCUCAGGAUCUUUACGGGUUGGCGAGACCGAAGAUUCAGCCGAACGUGCUGCUAUGCUUGUGACAGUCCUACUCGGUACUCACCGCAUGCCUCGCUGGCUCGCUUCAGAACCAGGCCAGCCCGGCCUGCAGCCUCACCGUCCCCAGCCACGCUCACACAGGACUCAGGCUCUACCGUCUCCCCACGUAGUUCCACCCGAAGGGAACACUUCUCUGCGCACACAGGGUUCUCCUCAAACGCCGCUACCAGGGCUAACACGAGAACGACACACGCAGAGGUUUCUCCUCUAGGGUCCCUAGCGUAGAGACAUCGCCCCAUAAGAACGAGCUUAAAGGAAGGCAGGGAUGCUACCAGGACAGCUUAAUCCAUUUCCACGGGUCAAGCUUACAUGUGGCUUUCCCUUUCGGGAAACCCCAAGCACUUAGCACAAACCUUGAUUACCUUACAAACCGAGGGACGAGCUCCAACGGCCUCCCUUUAUUCUAGUGGUGGUAGUACAGAGGUGGAGUAAUACAGCGGUAGAUUCUAAAAUAUGGUGGCUAAUUCUAUCUCUCUCAGAGAGUGGUGGUGGAUGUCUUCAUGAGUGGAGUGUGGGUGGAGGUCUUCGCUGGUGGAGUGUGUCUUCGUGAUUCUUGGUGAUGCUCUGGUUGUGAUCUGGUUGAUGUCGUAGUGUGGUUAAGGCUUCUGGUUCCUUCAACUAUUCUCCUCUUCUGUUGCCUGGACACUUGGACGGCUCCCCGCUCCUCAAUAAUUGUCCU